UACGGAGGAUGCAAGCGUUAUCCGGAAUUAUUGGGCGUAAAGAGUCCGUAGGCGGCCCGGCAAGUCUGCUGUCAAAGAAUGGAGCUUAACUCCAUAAGGGCAGUGGAAACUGCAGAGCUAGAGUCUAGGAGGGGUAGAGGGAAUUCCCAGUGUAGCGGUGAAAUGCGUAGAGAUUGGGAAGAACACCGGUGGCGAAAGCGCUCUACUGGACUAGAACUGACGCUGAGGGACGAAAGCUAGGGUAGCGAAAGGG
This 253-nucleotide ribosomal RNA is filed under the name uncultured cyanobacterium. Its description in RNAcentral is "partial 16S ribosomal RNA". It matches the Rfam family "Bacterial small subunit ribosomal RNA", at positions 524 to 776 of the family's 1533-position model. RNAcentral also lists the same sequence under 1 other name. Lineage: Bacteria; Bacillati; Cyanobacteriota. The record is from RNAcentral.